UUACUAAAAUGAAUUUUUUUCAUUAAAUUAGAGGUGAAGUUUUGUUCUCCAUGAAUUCUUCAAAAAUAUCUGCUGAUCAAGAAUCUAGAUUUUGUAACAUUGAUGGUACUUCUCAAAAUACAAGUAAAUCAUAUACUGCAUUUAUUCGCCAACAACAAAAUCAAAGAUAGGCGGAUAAGAGGAAUCGAAUUCAAACUCCACGCAUUGAUCGACGUAAAAGGAUAAAUGAUUCUACAUUAUCUGGAAAAAAUAAUUAAGGUGUUUCCCAUGCUCAGAAGUUUACAGUUCCUCCUAUUUUCCAGGCUUCCACUUCAAAUCAAGAAUCGACUAAUAUUGUUCAUUCUAAAGUACGAGAAUUUUCUAACCUAUUGAACAUACCAACUAAUGCAUAUGUAUUACGGACAUGGAACUACUAUGAACAUUGUGGUGCACGAAAAUUUUAUAGAGAAACUAAAGGGUUUUGUUGUUCUGAUGGAAAAGUUAAACUUUAUAUGGCUGAUUCACCGACUGAAUUGUAUGAUUUAUUUACUUCUAAAGAACUUGAAUGCAUGGAAUUGAAGAAAAUUGCACGUGGAUAUAAUAACCAUUUUGCUUUCACUUUGUUUGGUGUAAAAUGUGAUAAAGAACUUUUUAGAACAUAUAAAAGUAUUUAGACUUUUAGAGUUCAGGGACAAGUAUAUCAUUAUGUGAAUCAACUUAUGCUAGAAAAUAAUAAGCCUUCUUAUAUGUAGUUAUAUUUUUAUGAUACAGAUAACGAAAUUGAAAAUCGUAUGAAAAUUUUGUUGAAUCUACUUUGAUCAUUUUGAUUGAAAUCUUGAAAGUAAAUCCAUAUAGUAGACUCUUUAGGUCUUUAAGUAAUAUGACUAAUUUGCAUGACCAUCGAAUACAAAUAAGAUGCGAUCCUGGACUUGAUCAAAGAGUCUUCAAUAUUCCUUCAGCAUCUCAAGUAGCUGCUGUAUGGGUUGAGGAUGAUGACAAUGCAAAUAUUCGUACUCGUGAUAUUACAAUAUAUGGUCAUUCUAGUGAUUUAUAGAGUUCAUUAUUGUUAUGGUUGUUAUGAUCCUUUGCAAUAUCCUUUACUUUUCCCAUUUGGAGAAUAUGGUUGGCAUGAAGUUAUUCAAAGAUACCAAACGACAUAUUUUGAAACUCAAAAUUUGGCUGACUGGGUAGCUUUUCCUAGCGCAGUAAAUUUUGCAACCGAAAUCAUUGAAAAAGAGGCCGAAAGUUUGCUAAUACACUUUUUUGUAUGUUUUCUAACUUAUAUAAAGUAAGUGUUCUAGAUGGAUGUAAGAUGCAUUUUCUUUAUCCUCAUGCAAUGCUCAAUGGAAUGAAGAAACGAUCUUAGGUUUCUUGUCGAGAGUACUAUUCCUACAAGUUACAAAUUAGACCUUCUGGUUCUAUGAGUGGGAUUCAAAAGUUCUUUUCAAUUCUUUGCUACAUGUGUACAAUGGAAUCCUUAACGACAGCUUCAAAUUAAACUCAAGUUUGCAGAAGGUGAUCAACUAGCAAUAGCAAAGGAAACAUGGCACGGUUUGGGAAUGGAUACCAACAAAACGUAUCCUUCAUCUUCUUUACUAAGAAAUAACAAAGACAAGUCAAUUGCUGUAUUGCCCGUUGAUGAGCUGAUUGGAAAGGUUGAAAACUUUGUUAGUGUGUGCAAUCUCUCAUUA
Long non-coding RNA from Olea europaea var. sylvestris, 1670 nucleotides. RefSeq lists it as uncharacterized. The transcript is spliced from 3 exons. NCBI's taxonomy places the organism in Eukaryota, Viridiplantae, Streptophyta, Magnoliopsida, Lamiales, Oleaceae. The record is from RefSeq and is a predicted model, not a curated record.